UUACUGUUCACAAAAUCCCUAAUUCACAGAAUUGGUUUUCUUCUCCAGCCUUCACCGAGUAGCCACGCAGCACCAGCGAUCCACCAUCGCAAACCAGCCCACGCAGCAGCAGCAGCAACUGUGCGCGCAGCCAGCUCCAUCCCACGCGUGCGCAUAUUCAGCCUUCACCGAGCAGCCACGCAGCAACCCGCGAGCGCAGAUCCAGCCUUUGCCUAGCAGCGCGCAGAACCAACGUCAGCCCAGCUCUCACGUGCAAUCAACCCCAGCGCGCAGAUCCAGCAACCCACUAGCGCAGCAGAACCAGCCCCAGUAGCGCGCAGCAUCCCGCACGCAACCAGCAUCACCAGCGCGCAACCAGCAAUCCCCCAGCGCGC
RNAcentral lists this long non-coding RNA (374 nucleotides) under Citrus sinensis (sweet orange). Its description in RNAcentral is "long non-coding RNA (CSIN_LNC001694)". The record is from RNAcentral. Lineage: Eukaryota; Viridiplantae; Streptophyta; Magnoliopsida; Sapindales; Rutaceae.